RNA transcript from Trichoplusia ni (cabbage looper), 855 nucleotides. RefSeq lists it as uncharacterized. Lineage: Eukaryota; Metazoa; Arthropoda; Insecta; Lepidoptera; Noctuidae. The record is from RefSeq and is a predicted model, not a curated record. The transcript is spliced from 4 exons.
AAGCACUACCCAGCGUAUAUCGGUGUCUCUUUUCUACAACUGCUACAGUCUUCAUUUAAGAUGUCUCGGUAAGCUCCAGUUUAGACCGGUCUCGCAAUAUUAAUUAGCAUGCAUCCAGAAUCCGGAUUAAGAACGACUAUAAUAUGUGCUUAUCUACGUAUCCAAUAAUGAAGUAUCAGCUGCACCAGACCCGUGCUUUUGGAAAGAUUAUAAACACAAGGAUAUUGAAACUACGACAGGCAAGCCGACAGAAGCCCCAGAGUUAAUCGAAGAGUUUAAUCGGUUGAAGGAGAAGAAAAUCAGUCAGUUUGAGCAACUUAUUCGAAAUUGGCGUAAGUAAACGGUUAAACAGACGUCUUCUCAAGCUCUCAGCGACUUUCAAGUUGAAGGUGCAAUGCAACCAACAACAGAUGGCGCUGAACAGCAGUUUCCUAUACACAAAAUCCUUGUUAUAGUGACAUCUAGUGUAGAAGUUUCGAACUAAUAAUAUCCUAAUUUUAUUUCAGUUUUAUCUACUUAUUUAUUUUAGUUGUAGUGCAUGAUUAGGUUGUAAUGUUUAUUAAUUCUGAUUCAAACAGUUUUAUGGAGGCCUGGCGGUCGCAGUAGAGACAGUCAGAUUAAGAACCCAGCGGACAAGCUAAUUAUGAAUUAUGUAAGGUUUUUAUCUAAAUUGCUUGACAGUUUUAAUGUUUCUAAUUUACUGAACUUCAGUCUUUAGUACUUUGGUAUUGUUUGGUAUAUUAUAAGUAAUACAAAACAAUAUGGUUUUGGAUUUUUUAUUGAAACAUCCUACUUUUAUCCCGCAAUGAAACUGUUCCGACAAUGUAAGAAAUAACAUCAUUAUUUUUUACACAU